GUCUCAGUCACCUCACUCUUAACAGAUCUUACUCUCAGAGACUCCACUUGAGGGUGCCUCAGCUAACCACAGUCCUCUUACCUGCGUUCUUAGUGUUAUAGCACUUUUAUUUUCAUUCAUUAUGCUUCUUUUGAUAAUUUAACCUCAUCGAAAUUAAAGAAACAUGAUCCUCAAAUACAAAGAAUUUCCACUGAAGAGCAAUACAAUAUCCAAAUUAUGCAGUCUGUCAUAUGACAUCAUCAUUCAUUCAUGAUUUUCAACUAGACAGUUAUUGAGCAUCUGCUAUACGCCAGGAACAGUAGUCAAGCAUGCUCCAUCACCAGACAGAUCAGAAGAGGAUCAGAGAAAUAGAAAAAUAAGAACAUAGAGUGGCCCCAAAAACCUGAACCAAAGAAGGUAGAGAAAAGUCUUCCUCGCCAACAGUUCCAAGUAGAGGAAUAGCCCUUGCAAAAGUGUGAGGGUGUGAGGGAGCGGCACGACACCUCCAAAGCACAAUGAGAGAUGGAGUGCGGCUGAAGCAAGGGAGAGUGUGGGUGUGGCAAGAAAUGAAGCCGUGUUGCUGUGACGGUCAAUCAUGAAGGCGCUGAGGACUGUCACAAAUGUACCUUAAUCAAAUAAUAGGAAACUUUUGACCAUGUCAGAAGUUGACUUGUCUCCAUAUUCAGAGAGGAGUGAUGUUAGCAUUCAGUGAACAGGUCCAAGGCUGGAUGUCCUGCAACACCCAGGUCAGUCUCCUAUUAAUCAAGAAUUGUCCCACCAGCCAUUCAUAUAUGCG
Bos taurus (domestic cattle) is the source of this 775-nucleotide long non-coding RNA. The record is from Ensembl. NCBI's taxonomy places the organism in Eukaryota, Metazoa, Chordata, Mammalia, Artiodactyla, Bovidae.